GUGUCAGCAGCCGCGGUAAUACAGAGGGUGCAAGCGUUAAUCGGAUUUACUGGGCGUAAAGCGCGCGUAGGCGGCUAAUUAAGUCAAAUGUGAAAUCCCUGAGCUUAACUUAGGAGUUGCAUUCGAUACUGGGAAGCUAGAGUAUGGGAGAGGAUGGUAGAAUUCCAGGUGUAGCGGUGAAAUGCGUAGAGAUCUGGAGGAAUACCGAUGGCGAAGGCAGCCAUCUGGCCUAAUACUGACGCUGAGGUACGAAAGCAUGGGGAGCAAACAGGAUUAGAAACCCUUGUAGUCC
Molecule: ribosomal RNA, 292 nt
Filed under: uncultured prokaryote
Description: partial 16S ribosomal RNA
Rfam family: Bacterial small subunit ribosomal RNA
Source: RNAcentral